This 27597-nucleotide long non-coding RNA is filed under the name Citrus maxima (pomelo). Its description in RNAcentral is "long non-coding RNA (CMAX_LNC004020)". The record is from RNAcentral. Lineage: Eukaryota; Viridiplantae; Streptophyta; Magnoliopsida; Sapindales; Rutaceae.
GUUUCCGGCCUAUUGGACACUUUACGUUCACCAGCUGACUUCCCAGCCUUAGUGUACGAGCUUGGCGAGCUCAACAACCCUAAACUCCACGAAACCCUAAUAACAAUUUCCAAACGCUCAAACCUCAAAGCCUUUGUUAUCGAUUUCUUUUGCAACCCCGCGUUUCAAGUUUCCUCAAGUACCCUCAGUAUCCCUACUUACUAUUACUUCACCACCGCAGGAAGCGUACUCGCUUCUAACCUCUACUUACCAACUCUUCAUAAAAACACCACAAAGAGCUUCAGAGAACUCGGCAGCACGCUUUUAAAUUUCCCCGGAUUUCCGCCUUUUCCAGCAAGAGACAUGGCGUUACCCAUGCAUGAUCGUGAGGGUAAAGUAUACAAGGGCUUAGUCGACACCGGCAUCCAGAUGGCAAAAUCUGCGGGGGUUAUUGUAAACACAUUUGAAUUGCUCGAAGAGAGAGCUAUCAAAGCGAUGCUAGAAGGACAAUGCACUCCAGGGGAGACGUUGCCGCCUUUAUAUUGCAUAGGGCCUGUGGUUGGUGGAGGAAAUGGAGAAAAUCGAGGACGUGAUCGACAUGAAUGCUUGAGUUGGCUUGACUCGAAACCGAGUCGAAGCGUCCUGUUUCUUUGUUUCGGAAGCUUGGGAUCGUUCUCUAGUAAGCAGUUAAAAGAAAUGGCCAUUGGGUUGGAGAGAAGUGGUGUUAAGUUUCUUUGGGUCGUGAGAGCUCCAGCUCCCGACAGCGUCGAGAACCGAAGCUCAUUGGAGUCUCUUUUGCCUGAAGGGUUCUUGGAUAGAACAAAAGAUAGGGGGCUCGUGGUUAAAUCGUGGGCGCCGCAAGUAGAGGUACUGAAUCAUGAGUCAGUUGGCGGGUUUGUGACUCACUGCGGGUGGAACUCGGUGCUUGAAGGUGUUUGUGCCGGGGUGCCAAUGUUGGCUUGGCCUCUGUAUGCGGAGCAAAAGAUGAUUAGAGCGGUCGUGAUGGAGGAAAUGAAGGUGGGUUUGGCGGUGACUCGGUCAGAAGAAGAAGACGGGUUGGUGAGCGCAGCCGAGUUGGAGCAGCGAGUUAGUGAGUUGAUGGACUCGGAGAAAGGUAGAGCUGUUAAGGAACGUGCGGUGGCAAUGAAAGAAGCAGCUGCAGCAGCGAUGAGGGAUGCUGGGUCAUCUCGUGUUGCAUUGGACAAUUUGGUUGAGUCAUUUAAAAGAGGAUGCAUGGCUCCGUUGGGAUAGUCAAAACAAUAAUGAAAUUUGCACAAAAGUUUCAUAAAAUUUCUGUUUUGUAAUUCAAUAUUUUUCGUUUUAAUAAUUUCGUGCAUUUUUUUCUUGCCUUUGCUAACUUUUUGAGUAAUCGUAUAUGUAUAAAAUUAUUCGAGUAAAAUUAUUAAAGCUAGCACCUAUUCCCAUUGAUGAAUAGAGCAAUAGGAAAAGGUACGCAAACGAGCAAAAACAAUAAUAAUAAAUUGCAUUAUCUAAACCCUUAGGCAAUGCAUGGCUAAGAUUACCUUAUAACAAAAAGAAUUGUAAUAAGUUGCAUUAAUUAAGCCCUUAGGCAACUAAUGGCCGAGAUUACCUUAUUAUUGGCUAUAAGACAAAAGUUUGUGACUUAAAUUUUGCUCUCCUCUACUCACAUGACAUGGCUUUUGUUUUGUUUUCUAUUCAUUUAUGGUGCGUUUACUUCAUGGAAUGAGAAUUGGGUGGAAUGAGAAUUAACUGGAAAUGAGAAUGAGAUGGAAUGAGAAUGCGAUUUCAAUAUUUACUUGGCAAAAAUAAAUGGGAAUGAGAAUGUGCUGAAAUGUCAUUGAUGUGUUUACUUAGCAAAAUAAAUGAGAAUGCGGAAUGAAAAUGAGAAUCAAUUUACCAAAAUAUCUAUUAUAUUAAAUAAUGUAAUUUUUAUUAACUAGAUAAAUGUAUAAAUAUUAUUAUAAAAGUGCUAUUAAUUAAAAAAUAAUAAUAAUAAUAAUAAAUGUUAAUAAUGAUAAUAUUAAUCAAAAUAAUAAUAAUAACAAUAAUUAAUAAUAACUAAAAUAAUAAAGUCAAUAAUAAUAAUAAUAAUAAUGACAUUUAAAAUAAUAAAUUUAAUAAAUUUUGAUAAUAAUGAUAAUAAUAAUAAUAAUAAAUAAUUGUUAAUAAUGAUAAUAUUAAUAAAAAUAAUUAAUAAUAACUAAAAUAAUAAAGUCAAUAAAAUUUAACAAUAAUAAUAAUGACAUUUAAAAUAAUAAAAUUAAUAAAUUUUGAUAAUAAUAAUAAUAAAGUGUUAAUAAUGAUAAUAUUAAUAAAAAAAUAAUAAUAACAAUAAUUAAUAAUAACUAAAAUAAUAAAGUUAAUAAAAUUUAAUAAUAAUAAUGACAUUUAAAAUAAUAAAAAUUAAUUGUGAUUUGAAUGAGGGUAAUUCGGAAAAUAUGAAAAAAUUAUAGGGAUAUGAAAGUAAACUAAUGUUUCAUUCCCAACCCCCCUAUAGGAAUGAGAUUCUCAUUCCUUAUUCCCAAAUUGUAUGGGACCUAUACAUUUUAUUCUCAUUCUGAAAUUAUAUUUUGCCAAGUAAACAUGAGUUUCAUUCCAAUUCAUUUAUUCUCAUUCCCUAAACCCUCAAGUAAACACACCCUUAUUUCUUUACUUUUGUUUUAUUGGCUUAUUUAUUUAUUUACUUUUUCAUCCUUUUUUCUCUUCUCUAUGAUCAAUGCAAUUUUUAUUUUACAAUUUUUGAGCCCAUUCAACUCGUCAUUAUUUAUGUUUAGCUACGCAUUCUUUGCUCAGCUCGAGGUCAUAUUGUCCUUCGUUUAAGUAUCCAACACCGAUCAUAUCUUUUAGUAUUGGAAACUGGGGGGCUGAUGUUGGGUUUGCGAAAAUAUUUUUUAUUUUUUUCAAUAAUUAGUUUCCAACGCCAGUAAUAGCUUCUCGAUAUUGAAAACUAGAGGAUUCGUGUUAGAUUUACGAAUUUUUUUAAUUCUUUUCAAUAAUUAGUUUCCAACACUAGUAAUAGCUUCCCGAUAUUGAAAACUAGGGGAUUGAUGUUGAGGUUGGAUUUUUACUAAUAAUGUCAAGAAAUACAGUUGAUCCUAACCUCAGCUCGGAACCAAUUGCCGUUGAGCUGGCCUCAUGAGUACAACUAGGAGCCUAUGUUGGCAACUUGGUUUAUAAGUACAAUCUGGAGCCAAUGUGGACAAGCUGGUUUAUAAAUACAACACUAAGUCCAUACGAGCGACAUAAAAAUCCACCAAUCCGAUCUGAAAAUGAAGUAGUUUGACCUAGAAACUUGUUUGUCCGACCUUAGGAUGUGCUAGCUUGACACGGAAUAUUAUUUGUCAGGACCACAUGGCCUAUAUUUUGAGAAAGUUACAUAACACAACUUGUCAAACCGCCUUCAAUUGACAACUAGCUGCAAUUGCUCAAGAGAGUGGAAUAAAAUUGAUGAGAUAACCACCCACAACCGAGAGUCUAUUUAAGCUGAAAAGAGCAUCAGAGAAAAGGGGUAGAAAAAUUAACUAAAAAGUUCUACAAGUGACUAGUCUUAAAACCUUCAUAUUUUUUACAAGAUUGACAACACAACCACCAAAGAAUUCCUUGAUUUGAACUCAUUUCCAGUUCCUGCUUUUCAUUUUCUUUUUUCUCUUAAACAAAACAUCUGACUUAAGCAUCGGAAGAUUCCUGUCGGAAACCCCACCGGCGUGUCCUAACCGUGUUAUGUGGUUGGCAGGUAUAGGAAGUUGUGGUUGAGUUGUAGUUUGAGCUUGAAUUCGUGAUGUUAUUCCCCACAAAAUAAAUUCAGCUCUUGAGGUCAUUUUUUGGCAUCAACAUAGGGUUAGGUGUAGAGCUUAAUUAUAAAAUUUAACUCUUUAUCUCUCUAGAAGUUGAACUCAAACAAUCUAUAUAUAUAUAUAAAGUUAGGACUUGAGGAGGUGAUGUGGCAUCACCAUUUUGUUUCUUUGUAUAUUCUCUAUUAUCUAAUAAAUAGAGAUUUUUUUUUUUUAGAUUUGCCUUUUCAUCUUCUCAUAAUUAAUUUGAUUGUAUUUAACUCAUUUAAUAAAUAGAUAUUCUAAUACAAACUUAAAAUUAAAAAAAAAAUUAAUACUAAUUUUUUUUUUAAAGCCGCACGAAGUGCGGUUCUAUUUCCUAGUUAAUUAAAUAAAGAGGGUGAAAGCUACUCUUCAAAUUCCUGAAGUCAGGUAAACAUAAAUAAAUUUAAUCGAAGUAAUUAAGUUUUUAAAAAAUACUAGAAUUUUUCAUCAACUAUUUUUUUCUUUAUCAUGCAAAUAUAAGGGAAUGAUAAGUACCAGACAAUUUAUCAUGUAACUAAAAUGUAAAAUUAAUUCAGUUUCUUAGUAUACUCCUUGUCUUUUUAACUUUACUGUACUAAUAAUUAGGGAUGAGCAAACUCAGUCCAACUCAAUACAUCCGAUCCAAUCCAAUUUAAAUAAGUUGAGUGGGUUUGUAACGCCAAAUUCCAUAAUAUUAAAUUAUGGAAAUUGGGCUUUCAUGAGGAAUCAUGCGUGACUUUAUAAUCCUUAUUUAAUAGGGAUAUUAAAGUUAUAAAUAGGAGUUAUUUAUGAGAUAAAUUUGGAAAAUGGUUACUUUUCCAAAUUCAAUAAGGUUUCUUAAGACUCCCUAUAAAUUCAUAUUUUUCCCCUUCCAUAACCCUAAAUCCAUGACGUUUCUUCUUCUUCUCCGCUGCUCAUUACACUCUUACAACUCUAGGAUUCAAACAUUUAUUUAGGAGAGAAUCAAAGUGAUUUGUAAGUUUACUCUCCUUAUUCUCCACAAGAUUUCCAAUCACUCUAUCUAGGGUUUAUAUUGGCAUGAUUUUAGAUUGUUAUAAAUCAUAAUGCAUGAUUUAGAAUGUGUUUACAAACUCAAUGACCGGAUAUUAUGUAGGAAGCCCAUUGAGUUUGGUAUUUUACCAAAAAAGUUAUUGUUAGCCAAAUUAAGAAUGACAAGGCUAUCGAAUUGGAACCAACAAUCAGGAAGCUUUCCUGAUAGUAAGUUAUUUGAGAGAUCAAGAUAUAUUAAUCUGUUACUGAGGGAACAUAGGAAGGAAAUGGAUCCUGAAAAUUUAUUUUUGGAGAGAUUUAGGGAUGUAGCAUUUGAAGGAAGUGGUGGAAUUGGACCCUCAAAGUGGUUUGAGCUAAUAUCAAUACCAGGACCAGAAAUAUCAAAUCUCAAAGACAAAUCUGGAAGUUUACCUCUCAUCUGGUUGCUUGAGAGAUUUAAAAGCAUUCGUUGAUGAGUAAGAUCCCAAAACCAAUUUGGGACAGUAUCUGUGAUUUUGGCAUUGGAGAUAUCAAGCGAAAAAAUUUGACUCUGAGUUUGAAGCCAUUUUGGACAACGAGGCCCCAUCUUGCAAUGGCCAAGAGAUAUAGUAUUCAGUUGAAAAGGUGGAAUCCAAUCAUGGCUAAAUUCCAACGUCAAUGAGUUAUCUGCCAAGUCCAAUGCCGCUAACCUGGAAAGAUUUGAAAACAAAGCUUCGGAGAUGACACCUCCGAGUGAAUUUCCAUUAAGUUUCAACAUCUCAAGCUUGAACAAUUGGCCAAUGCUUUUGUGUAUCGUCCCGUUUAAAAGUUUAUUUUCAAGAUUCAAUUGUUUCAAAGAUGAAAAUUCUCCGAGAUUAGGCAUUGACCCUGUGAUUUCAUUGGAAGAUAAAUGCAGCCACUCCAGUGAGUUCUUUGUGCAGCCACUAGACAAAUCUUGAAUGAACUCAGAGAGCUGCCCUUUGAGUUCAUUGCCAGACAAGUAUAAUAUUUUUAAACCGCACAUAUUUCCAAGAAAUUUUGGAAUCCCUCUCAAUUGAUUAGAAGAGAGAUCGAGAUAUCUGAGAGACACCAUGCGUCCAAAAGCUUCUGGAAUUGAACCUUGUAAUUGGUUAGAAGGAAGGCUUAUACGAUCAACAAGAUUGCUACUAACACUGAACAACCAAGGGUAUACUGAAUUUGUGAGAUUGUUUUCGGUGAGAUCAAUAACCUCAAGAGAAUUACUAGAAUUGAGGUUCAAAAGAGAUGAAGGAAUGAUUGGUGGAAGAUCACACGAGUACAAGGACAAGGUUGAUAGGGAAUGGAGCUUGCUGAGUACUUGAACCCAGUUGCUGAAUUUACUGAGAUCGUUGAAAUCCAAGUUAAGAUAAAUUAAAGAAGAAAGAUGAGAAAGCCAAUCAAGAUUCUCACCAAUAAACAAAUUAUUGGAGCUGAGGUCAAGAGAUUGCAACCUUGAGAGGUUUCCAAGCUGAUGAGGAAUUGGUCCAGCAAACUCAGCACUAGAGAGACCGAGAUAGCUCAAUUUGCCGAGGGAACCAAGGAACUCGGGAAUUGAACUUCCACUGAAAUUAUUCCAACCGAGGUCCAAAUAAGUUAAAUGUUGCAAUUUGAGCAAAGCGGGAGUAAUUGGUACCUCUCAAUGGAAAUGAGUCAAAACCGAUUGGUUGAAGAUCAAGCUUGUUUUCAUGGCCGGUUCUUUUGCUACAGUCGACUCCUGUCCAUUUACGACAGUCUCUUUUCUCAUCUUCUCGUCCCCAAGAAGACAAAAUGCCAGAUUCAUCCACCAGGCUAGCUUUGAAAGUGAGAAGUGCCUCUCUCUCCUCAUCUAUGCACCUUGUCUUGUUAGAAUCUGCAACUACUACUCUUGGCUGCGGUUGAAACAAAAUCACAGAACAGAAAGCUAUGUAUUGAAGUAAAAGGAACCAUUUGGAUGACAUUGUGAAUAUUUGUUUUCAAUGCUUGAUAUCUGAAACCUCAGGAAUCCAGGCCAAUUAAUACUUGUAUAUCAACAACGGAGUCUUCAUUAAUGUCAAUAGUCGUCUACGAAAAUAAUAUUUUAGCCUUUUAUUAUCAUUAUAUGUCAUCUACAUAGAAAUUUGAUUAAUAAAAGAUCGAAUAGAGUAAGAGCAAAUCUUGUAAAAUUCCCUUCGUUCACAUUUCAGUACCAAUGAUCUUGAAUCAUGCGAACCUUCCACCUACUUUAUUGGUAACAUUAUUCUGGUUUGAAUAUUAGUUAUUAGUAUCAUCAUCCGUUUAAAUUUACUAGUCAACAAGUCUAUUAAUAUGUAUAUGUUUUGUCUUCCAUUAUUAUUAUUAUUACUUUGUACGUAUGUAGCUUAGCAUCUCUAGUCUCUAAUCCUUUAACUUUUACUUACAGUUUUCUUGGGAAAUUCUCUCCUUCGUUCACAUUUUGUACGAAUCCUACGAAGCGACCACCCACUUUAACAACAUUAUUUCCUAUUAAUUAAUAUGAAACGGCAGCGAUAAUCGGGGUGUAGAAAUCAGUUGUGCCAAGCGUACGAUAGGUAAAAGCCAAAAUUAUCCUUAUUAUCAUUUAUAUUUAAUACAAUUCUUUAUAUAACCUUACAUAUAUUAUAAAAAUCUAAAAUUAUUCUAACUCAAUAAGAAAAUAUUAUCAUUAUUGUAGGCUCCGUUUGGUACAACUUUUCAAGUAGAACUUAUUUAAUUAGAAUAUUUAUUAAUAGAGCUUUUAUAAAACUUUAGUCGUUUGGUUAUCAAUAAAAGAUUUUAUUAAAAAUUUAUGAAAUUACUUUAAUAGACAAACUUUUUAAAGUUAUCUUAUGAAAAAAAUAAAAUAAGAUUAUUAAAUAAGUAGAUGAUAUUUUAGAUAUUUUAACAUUUAAAAAUAGUUUUCAACUUCUACUCCCAAAAACCCAAAAUUUGAGCUUUUACUAGUAGAGACAAAACAACUUAUUUAAGCUUCAAAAGCUCUAUUACAAAAGCAAUAAAAAAAUAACAAAUAUUAUAAUUAGAGCUUAUGAGAUUAAAUCAACACUUAUAACCAUUAAAUAAGUCAUACCAAACAACCACUUAAAGAGAUUAUUAUUGUCACCAUUUAUAUUGAGAUAACAAAAUAACAUAAAUAAAAUUAAUAAAAUACAAAAAAAAAUUAUUUAUACAUGCUUAUAAAUGUGCAAGUAAAUUUUAUUCAGCAUUAUAUUCAUUUCAAUCACUUGCAUUCUUAUAAACAUUUAAUUAAUUCUUCCACAACUUAUUAUUUGUACAAAUUAAAAGAUCAUUUUAUCUUGUAAAAGUUUUGAAAAUAAAAAAAUUAUAAUUAUAAAAAUACCCCUAUUUUUAAUAAAGAAAUAAAUCCAAAAAUUAGAAUUUUUAUUUUUAAUAAAAAUUAUUUUAAUAAAAAAUAUAAUUAUAAAAAUAAUUACAAAAUUUUUGGAUUUAAUAAAAAUGCCCUAAAUUAUUAAAUUUUGGGAUUUAUUUUUUAAUAAAUAAAUUCAGUUAUUUUAAUAAAAUUUUACAAAAUUAUAAUUUUUAAUAAAUAAAUUCAGUUAUUUUUUAUUAUAAUUUUGAAAAUUAUAAAAUUUUAAUAAAAAUAAUUAUUAAAAUUUUGCAAAAUCUAAAUUUAAUAAAAAUCAACUAAGCACCUCUAUUUUGGAUUUUUUUUUUAAAUUUAGGGGUACUUUUAUAAUUAUAAUAUUUUUUUAUUUUUCAAACUUUUAUAAGAUAAAAUGGUCUUUUAAUUUAUUUAGGAUUAAAAUUAUCAUUUCGUUUAAAUUAUUUAACGGUGUUAGUGCAAAAGUGGUUAAUUGAUACAAAUUUAAAAAGAAAGAUGAUGCAGAGACCAUGUUAGAAUUUUGUAGUGCUUGUAUGAACAUAAUGCAAAAAAAAAUGUGGUGCAGUGAUAAUUUUCCUUUUAAAAACUAUCAUAAUACAUAAAUGGCCCAUAGAUCCACCCACGGUGUCUACAUAUUUUUUAUUAAAUACUUAUAUAUAUAAUGAGAAGUCAAUUAAAUGGAGUGCGAUUCAGAACAGCAAAAGUAAAAUAUAUUAUCGUGUUUCCUGGCAGAGUGGUUGGAGUACAAUUUAGAACAUCAAAUAUUAAACGUAAUAUGGUGCAUAUGCGGCAUAAUUGUCGGAGUGUAAUAGAAGAGAGCUAAAGAGGAGGAGAGACUAAGAAAUUAUAUAUGAAUUAUCAACAUAAUCUGCAGCCACCUAGGAAUUUUCUUUAUUUAUAAUAAUUUAGUUUAAAUUAAAAUUUAAUCCAAUUCAAAAUUAAACAAUCUGCAACUAGCCCAUAAAUUGAUUUGACUCAUUCCGUGUGUUUGGAAGACCACAUACUUGGCUUGUUAUAAAUUAAAGGAAAAUGCUACUUACCCCGAAUCAGAUCCCGGGUCAAACCCCGAAACGGUAGUAUAGGCCGUCGUUUCGUCUAUUAUUUUUUUUUGUUUUGAUUAUUUUUGAAACGACACCGUUUUUGCUUCUAUUCUUUUUACUCUAUUCUGAUUUCUUCUUUCUCUUCGUUUAACUUAACCCAACUUCUUUCUCUUUGUUUAACUUAACCCAGCUGCACACCCCUUGCUUCUUCCUCUUCGUUCUCUUCAUCACACCGUUUCUACUUUUAAUUUUUUUCUUUGUUCUGAUUUGCUGGGAACGAAGAGAAGAGAAACAAUAAUAUAUCUGAACUGAAAAAUGAUGCCCCUGGUUUCUUCAGUUUGAAGCAUAGUGUAGAUUGAUGUGUAUAAAUUAUUAAACUUAUGCAUGCUUCUGGGUUGUGUUUAUACGAAUCAUAUCUCGCAUCAUGAUUAUUUCAUUACCAUUAAUUUCUUCCUUUGAACUUGGAGAUUGUCCUCGAAAAUUUGUGCUCAUAUGUUUUUAUGUCUUGAUCCAUUUCAACAACAAAGAGACUCUGCAGCUAUAUAUGUUGUUGUGCAGGAAAGUAUAAAGUUGCGUGUUUGACCUGAGAAUCUGAAAAUUUCCUUACUAGUGCAAAAUAUGUCCUUUAACUUGAAUAAAAUACCACCAUCCUAACAGAAUGAGACUAGAUUAAUGAAUAAUAGACUAGGGAUUGCGAAUGGCUGCCAAAUCUUAAUUAAGUUCUCAAGGGCUGUGACUUUGGGUAGAUUGGAAUCUGAUGCUGAGGAGAAAUUUUGGAGCUUCCAUAAGAAAAGUGUUGGGGAAUAGGACAUUGAGUCAGUCUCAGACAGCAGCAAGCCUGCUUUAUGCGAGAGAGAGACGGGAGCAUUAGAAAAUGGGUUUGGAGUUGGAUACAAUAAUGGGGACUGGCUAAGCUUAAGACGAGGAGUGAGGAGACUAUGCAGGCAUCCUGUAUUUCAGUUCGAUGAAGGAAAAUGGAACAAGGCAAACGAAGGGGCAGCUGGGUUUUGAAGGAUUUGCAGUUGGAUUUGCAAACGAACGUGGCUGUCGGUCGAUGAAGAGAACGAAGAGGAAGAAGCAAUGGGUCUGUAGUUGGGUUAAAUGAAGAGAAGGAAAAGAUCAGAACAAAGAAAAAUAAAAUUGAAGCAGAACGGUGUCGUUUCUAAACGAAUCAAAACAAAAAAAAACAAAGAACCGAAAACAACGACCUAUGCUGCCGUUUCGGGGUUUGACCCGAUAUUUGACCCGGGACAAAUAGCAGAACUCUAAAUUAAAAGAGAAUUUCUCCUUUGUUGGGGUUUUGGCUUUGCCUUCUUUUUAGUAGCUGACAGGCAUUGUGAAUCAACAAAUGCCAAAACUCAAAAAAGUGCUGGUAUUUUGAAAAUACCAGUCUCAUCACAUUCACAAGUGAAUUUCAUUUUUCGUGAUAAUUACAGAAGGAUUAUUAAUAAAAACGUUAACUGGGCAUAUACAGAUGAUGAUCUAAAAUCUAAAGAGAAACAUACAAAUUACAGAAGUUCCUUCAAGCAUUCACCCAACAUAUACAUAAUGUACCACAUACGCAUGAUAUGAGAAGACUAAGUUAAUUAUUUAGAAAGCUAGGAGGAGAACUCUGUAGAGAAUGCCAUACGAUACGAGAAAGACACAAUGCUCCUGCCAGAAUUGGUGAGAAAAUAAAAAUAAAAAUAAAAAUCAAUGAAUCAUUAGUUUAUGAAAGAAAAAGCAUGUGAGCCUCUGUAAUCAUCAUAAUUAACUAAAACACAGUCACACGUGAAGUAGUAUUACCAUUAAGUUUAAUUGUUGUAGUUUUGCAAUAUUCAUCGCUGCUGUCACAUGGAGCCUUCACGAUUUAUUAAUUAACUCCGAAGUAAAGCGCCUCAAACUCCCCAAAACGCAACAAUGAACCCAAGAAUCAAAGACACAUAAAACCCGAGAGUUAUAAACUGAUCUUCAUCUUCUGAAGUGUCCGCGUCAUCUCUGCCUUCAGUCAUGCCUGACCCUGGAGCUGAUUCUUCAUCCCAACACUUAUUUGGAAGUGGGAGACCGCAAAGUUCAGGAUUUCCAGCAUACACUUAGCCAUUGAAGCUCUGAAGUUGAGUGCCUGUUGGAAUUUUGCCCAAGUUGUAUGACAAGUCCAUGACACUCAGAACACUUAACUGAGAAAGGCUCGAGGGAAUGCCGCCAACAAGCUGGUUUCUAGACAAAUCGAGGAAAUCCAAUGAUUUUAACUGACCAAUCUUUGGAGAGUUUUGUCCAGUCAAAUGGUUUCUUGAAAGGUUUAAGGCAACCAAUCCCACAAGAUCCAUUAUCUCUUCGGGAACUGCUCCAUUGAAGUUGUUACUUGAAAGCUCAAGGCUCGUUAUAAGCCCCAGAGUACUUCUGUACUCACGUUCACUUCCUUUCCAUGUCAGCAUGACUUUGUCCUGAAAGCUAUAGUGAUAUACAUAUGGAGGGCCAAUAAAGGUGUAAUGGUACACCUUAAUGGUGGGAUCGGAACUUCUUUCUUGGGUCAUAUCAGUAAAAUUAUUGAAACACUUUGGUAUCUUUCCCGAUAUAUUGUUUAAAGAAAGAUCUAAGACUUGAAGGAAUGCAAGUUGGCAUAACUGGAAAGGUAUUUUUCCAUGAAAUUUGUUAGAUUUCAAGCUAAGAACAAUCAAAUUUGAAAGACUUUCCCCCAUCCAUGUUGGUAUCUCACCGUACAAAGCGUUCUUCCCAAGAUCCAAAAGUCUGAGUUGUGAGCAAUUCCCAAAAGAUGAAGACAGUUCCCGGGUUAAACUGUUGCUGUGUAAACUCUGUGUUUGGAUAUUUUGUAGGAAGCCCAUCGAGUCUGGUAUUCUACCAGAGAAGCUAUUGUUUCCCAAAUCAAGAAUGACCAGACUAUCAAACAUCCACCAACAAUCGGGAAGCUUUCCUGAUAGUAAGUUGCUGGAGAGAUCAAUGUACGUCAAUUUGCUGCCGCUGAUAGAACAUAAGAAGGAAAUUGAUCCUGAGAAUCUAUUUUUAGAGAGAUUCAAGAAGGAUGAAUUUGAAGGAAGUGGUGGUAUUGGACCCUCAAAAUGGUUUGAACUAAUAUCUAUACCAGGAUUAGAAGUACCAAACCUUGAAGACAAAUCCGGAAGUUUACCAUUGAUCUGGAUGUUAGCAAGAUCUAAAAAGGAGAAUUUAUUGGAUAGAUCCCAAAACCAAUCAGGGAUAGUAUCUGAGAUUCCAGUAUUGGAGAUGUCAAGCAACUCAAUUUGAUUCUGAGUUUGAUGCCAUUUAGGAAAAUGAGGCCCUAUCUUACAAGAGGAACGACUUAUAAUAAUCAGUUGAAAAGGAGGAACCUAAUCAUCGCUCAGCUUCAAAACCAAAGGGUUGUUAGCUAAAUGCAAUUCGUUCAAGUUGGAGAUAUUGGGAAAAAAAAAAAUUUCAGAGAUAACACCUGUCAAUGAAUUCUGGGAAAGACACAAUCUCAAGCUUGAAUAUGCGACCGAUGCUUUUGUUUAUAGUCCCAUUCAAAAGAUUAUCUGAAAGAUAUAAUCUUUUCAUGGAUGAAAAUCCUCCGAGAUCAGGUAUUGGCCCUGUGAAGUGAUUGACUUCUAAAUGCAGCGACUUGUGAAUUCUUCAAGCAUCCACUCGACAAAUUUUGAAUGAUUGCUGAGAGCUAUCCACUGAGUUUGUUAUCAGACAAGUUUAACUUGUUUCCGAAGAAUUUGGGAAUCCCACCUUCAAGUUCAUUGAACAUGAGACUGAGAUGUUCAAGAUAAACCAUGUGUUGAGAACACUCUGGAAUUGAACCUUGUAAUUGGUUAAAACUAAGGUCAAUUGAAACAAAAUUGCUACUGAUGUUGGACAACCAAGGGAAUAUGGAAGAAGUGAGAUUAUUAUCAGAGAGAACAAGGGUCUUAAGAGAUGUACUAGAAUUGAGGUGAUUAAGAGACCAAGGAAUAACGGGUCGAAGAUAAAGAGUGCAAGGACAAGGUUUUCAGAGAAUGGAGCUUGCCAAUUACUUGAAACCAAUCACUACAAUUAGCAAGAUGGUUCUUCUCCAGGUUAAGAUAUCUUAGAGAAUGGAGCCUUAAACUUCUCCUCAGCAGCUUCCUGUGCGCACAACAGCUAGUCAGAGGACGCCGGAGGUUUUUCCGGUGUAAACCCUCUGACACUCAAGUCAGCAAUUUGGGCUUAGGAAAAACUAUGCCAUCAGUCUCGUGGCUUAGUUGUGAUUUUUUAUCUUUUAAUUCUUGAAAAAAUGGUCAAGAAGAGGGAAGAAAAAGUGCCAAAGAGAAUUAAAUUUUAGAUAAAUUUGACCUCAUAGUGUCUAACCCCUUUACCUUCUCCGAAUGUCCCUUUUAUAACCUGCCUGGACAUUCGGUCUCCAUUACCCCACGUUCGUCACUUCAUCAGGUGUUGCAUCGUGAGUACAUGAGCACCGUAACUGUUGUCGAGUGGGAAGAAUGCACGUGUUGAUAGCUACCAUUGAUAGCUACUAUUUGGUCUCCUCGUGAUUCAUCUAACAGUCGUACUAGAUAGCUCCUCGACAGUGAAUCAUUGGUAUCUGUCGAAGAGACACAGUAAUUUCUAAUUAUUGGAAGUUACCUACUUAAAUACCAGAUUCAUCGGAUUCCUAUCAAAUGAAAAAGUAAGCUCUUAGAUAUGCUUAUUUUUACAAGCACAAGGCAUGAUAGAUGGUGAUUUUCACUUGCAAAAUCAAAAGUUCUAUCAACCCCCAAUAAAUUGAAAAUGUGAACACUAGUUUCAAACAACAAGGAUAAUGGGCUAGGAAUCAGUAAUAUUAAGCAAACGAUUGAAGGAAAAGGCCUCGAAGCACUUAAAUCAAUUCUCGGUAAUUUGCAACGAAAGAUGAGUAGCUCGGACUGGACUUUCUUUUGGAUAAAAAUUGUUAUUAUUUUGAUUUUGGUUUGACAAUCGACAGUUAUAAUUGAUAAACAACAAAUAAAAGGAGGCCAUAACCUGAUCCUUAUAAAGUUAAAGGGCCAAUUUCAUAAUACUUAAACUAGAAAUAAUAUUGUUAAUUUGAGUGAAUUUUGCUUAGAAGCACAUUAGACCACGUGAGGAUCUUAAUCAGACGCGAAGACUUAUAUAUAUGAGAAAUAUUCCAGUCCGGAGUUUUAAAGUGCGGGAACGUUCGGGAAAAUGCAUAAACCGUGUGGUUUAAGCGCUUUAAGUUUUAAGCCUUUAAAAUCCCGCGGUUUUAAAGUUUUUCCGGACGUUUCCCGCACUUUUAUGCGUUUUCUCGAACGUUCCCGCACUAUAAAAUUUCGGACUAGAACAUUUCUCUAUAGGUUUAUACACACACACACACAUGAGACUAUUGCUCAAGAGUAUAAUUCAUAUUACAUGAGAUUGCAACUGAUAUUUACAAAUAAAACUAUUACUGGGACUAGUUUACAUCAAUUCUUAUGAAGCACUGCCCAUAUUUUUAAUGAGAUUACAACUGAUAUUUAUAAAUAAGACUAUUACUGUGACUAAUUUAUAUUAAUUCUUAUGAAGCACUGCCCAAAUUUUUACUCACAUUUCAAAAAGAAGAAGACUGCAUUAACUCAAAUUGAGGAAGGAAAUUGUGGGGGCUCGAACUCAUGACCUCACAAGUGUGAAGUUUGGAUUCUAACCACUAGCCUAAAGCGCGGACAUAUUACUACCACUUAAUUGACAACCUAUCCAAGUACUGUUUCCAAUUUGGACUUAUUCUUGGCUGCUAUUGCAUAGAGCCAAUCUUUUGUACCAGUCAAGAAAUUAAAAGAUAGACAUGUCUCCAUGAAUUAUUGAGUAAAUUGCCCAAGCCUCCUGAGAAGUCACAAUCAGUUAAGAAUGACAAAAUCUUCCAUGGGUAUGGGGUUCUAUGAGGCACCACCUCAAAUGAGGUAAAUUUUUAAAUAAUUUUUGGGGAAUGGGGUGGGAAAUGAGAAAAAAUAAUCCCCAAAUUCUUAAUGGAGUGGGGUUUGGUUUUGUACUCCCACGCCAACCCCACCCCCAAUCCCCAUUGUAUAUAAAUAUUUUUCUAAUUUUUAUUUUAUUAAUUACAAUAUUAGUUAAUAAAUUUUCUUUUCAUUUUUACUUGAUAUAAAUGGGAUAUAACUAAAAGAAACCCUACAACAUAGAUUUAAUUCACCCUAGAACAUUAUUAUGUUUUAUUUUCUCUUCAAAUACUGCUCUCUUUAAACAUAUUUCAAUUUUGAUAUCAUUUUAAGAUAUUGUUUCAUACAUUUGAAGAUUUUUUAAUAAUUUAAAUACUUUAUAAUAUGAUAAUGAUUUUAUUUAAGUCUUCAAUUUUUAAUUUAUUGAUUCCUCAUCCCCAACCAACUAAAUUUACCGGUGAAUGAGGUGAGGAAUAGAGGCGAGAUUUUUAAUAGGCCGGGGAAUGAGGUAGACCUUCCCACCACUACCCGACCCUGUUGCCAUCCCUACAAUCAGUAAUAUCAAACAUAGAAUUGAAGAAAAAUGGCACUCAAAUCAAUGCCAAUUUCUAAUUAAUGAAGUUACAGGCUAUGGUUGCAGAUUAACUAGAUUCCGAUCAAUUACUAAAACAAUAACUGAAAUGUCUCGUAUAGAGAAUAUGUGCUAAACAAAACCAUAAACAAUUUCCUUGUAAGCAUAUACUUAAUAUCAAGUACCAUAUGAAAAUACAAGCUUAUCAAGUACCAUAUGAAAAUGCCAAUUACUUUCACAUUUCAAUACCAAUUAUCUCGUAGAUUUUCGUGCUCUGUUCAAAAAAGAAAGAAAAAAUCUAUGUCUGUCAAGUAAAAGUUGAGGGUGCUAUCUUAAAAAAAAAAUGCAAACAUUGAUCCAUCAUGUGAGAGUUUGUAAUAUAAUGUGUUUGGUUAACAGGAAAGUUAACGAGAAAAUGAAGAAGAAGAGAUAAGAAGAAUCUAGAGUUUAUUAGAUCUAAUUACCCUUUACAAUAAUGAUCUAAGCUAUGUUUUUAUACAAAGAUCAAUUCACAUACUCAAGUCUGUUAUAACAAAUACACGUGCUUAACAAACUUGUUAACAGUAAUCUGAGUCAGCUAACUAACUUGAACACGUCAGCAGUGGAAUUAUCUUAUGCCCGCAACUCCAUACUCUAAUCAUGCUCUGUAACAUCCCCUCUCAAGCUAAACUUUCCAGGAUGAACGUUUAGCUUGCUUCGAAGAUAAUGAAACUGAUCAAAAGUUAAUGGCUUGGUAAGUAUGUCUGCAGUUUGAUCUUCACUAGGAACGAAUUGCACAACUAUCUUCUUUGCUGCUACUUUCUCCCUGAUGAAAUGAAUAUCCAGUUCCACAUGCUUGGUUUUAGCAUGAUACACUGGAUUGUAAGCUAAGGCUAUAGCACCUUGAUUAUCACACCACAUUAUAGGAGCUGCGGCAAGCUUGAUUUUGAGUUCAUCAAGCAGUGCUUGAAUCCAUACAGCUUCAGAUGUGGCUUGAGCUAAAGCUCUAUACUCAGCUUCAGUACUGGACCUUGAUACCACUGGUUGCUUCUUAGAACACCAGGAAACUAAGUUUGAGCCAAUGUAAACUGCAUACCCAGCAACUGAUUUUCUAUCAUCUUUAUCACACGCCCAGUCUGAGUCACUGAAGCAAUUCAUUUGUAAAGUUCCAAAAUGAUAAAAAUGCAGACCAAAAUGAAUUGAGCCAUUCAAAUAUCUGAGAAGUCUCUUACAAGCUUCCCAAUGUUCUGAAGUUGGUGAAGACAAAUAUUGACUAAGUUUAUUAACAGAGAAAGCUAUCUCAGGCCUUGUAAGUGUCACAUAUUGCAAAGCUCCAAUUAUGCUUCUAUAUUGAGAUGCAUUAGUAAUGGUUGAACCUGAUCCUUUUCUGAGCUGAUGUCCAGUAGACAUAGGAGUAGGAACAGGGCUACAAUCUGCCAUAUUAUGCUUAGCUAAGAGAUCAGCUAUAUACUUUGCUUGAGAGAGAUAGAAUCCAUUUGAAGUUUUUGAGACUUCAAUCCCAAGAAAAUAAUUCAACUCUCCUAAGUCCUUCAAAGCAAAAGUUUUCUGCAUAUUAAGAAUCACUUGCUGCACCAGCUGAUAACUAGAACUAGUAACAAUGAUAUCAUCCACAUAUACAAGCACAAGCAAAAUAUGACCAUUUUCCCACUUAUAGAAGAGUGAACUAUCAGACUUAGAGUUGAGGAACCUCCAUUGAGAUACUAUAGCAGAUUUGAACCUGUCAAACCAUGCUCUGGGGGCCUGUUUUAAUCCAUAGAUUGCCUUCUUGAGUUUACAGACAUGAGUAGGUCUGGUGGAAUCAGUAAACCCUGCAGGCUGGGCCAUAUAAACAUCUUCAACCAAAAUACCAUUUAAGAAGGCAUUAUUGACAUCAACCUGUCUUAGAAUCCACUUAUUCAUAACAGCUAAGCUUAAAACUAUUCUGACAGUAGAUGCUUUCACAACUGGACUGAAGGUUUCAGUGUAAUCUUCUCCAUGUGUUUGAUGAAAUCCUUUUGCUACAAGCCGUGCUUUGUAUCUAGAAAUGGUACCAUCUGAGUUGUGCUUAAUUCUGAAAACCCACUUACUUCCUAUCACUUUGACAGGAGCUGAAGGUGAAACUAAGUCCCAAGUAUCAUUAUUUUUAAGUGCUUGAUACUCCUCUUGCAUUGCCUUGAACCACUUUGGAUCAGAUAUUGCUUGGGUUAUAGAUGUAGGUUCUGAAGGUGUAGCCAAAAGACCAGUAAGAUAUGAUUUAGGCUUAAAAAUACCAGCCUUUGAUCUAGUUAUCAUAUGGUGUCCUACUGGAGGAGCAGUAGGUAUGACAUGAGGUGGGAAGUUAAUAUGACUUGGUAAAGAUAGAUUAUGUGAUUGGUCUGUGGGAGAAGAUAUAGGAGAAGAAGAUAGAGAUGGUGAAGGAGCAUAUACCUCUCUAGGAGCUGGAGAUGAAGUCUCUGAGGAAUCACUUGCUGAUUGAGGUUGCAGAGGAGAUUGUAUUGGAAAAUGAGUAAAAGAAGGAAGAACAGAAGAGACUGUAUUUGAUGAAACACAAGACUGAGAGACAGAAGAAAAAUCUGAACCAGACACAUAUGGAAAGGAAUUUUCAUAAAAAAUGACAUGAUUUGAGAUAUACACUCGACCAGAGGAAUGAAGACACUGAUACCCUUUAUGGUGGCUGUUGUAGCCAAGAAAGACACAUCUUCCUGACCUAAAAGCAAGCUUGUGUUUAUUGUAUGGCCUGAGAUAGGGAAAACAAGCACAACCAAAAAUUCUAAGAAAGUUAUAAUCUGGUGUUUGAGCAAAGAGCUUUUGAUAAGGAGAAAUGUUAUUUAAGGUUGGAGUAGGUAACCUAUUGAUGAGAAAAACAGCCGUGUGAAAAGCAUUCCACCAAAAUUUGAGUGGCAAAUUUGCUUGAGCAAACAAGGUAAGGCCAAUGUCUACAAUAUGCCUAUGCUUUCUCUCUAUUCUACCAUUUUGAUGGUGAAUAUAAGGACAAGGAUGCCUAAACUGAAUUCCAGACUGAGCAAGAUAAGUAGAAAAACUUUUAAACUCCCCUCCCCAAUCUGUUUGCACAGUUUUAAUAUUUUUAUUCAAGAACUUUUCAAUGAAACUUCUGAAGGUUUGAAACACUUGUAGUGCAUCAGACUUAGCAGCCAAAGGAAAAAUCCACGUAAACCUACUGAAAUCAUCUAAGAUUGACAGAUAGUAGGAGUAGCCUUGUGUUGAAGUAACAUGUGAGGGACCCCAGAGAUUAGCAUAUAAAAGCUGAAGAGGUUCAGUUGUUUUUGUGGCAACAGAAUCAAAAUGUAACAAAUGACUUUUUCCAAAUUGACAAGCAGAACAAAAAUUCAAGACUUUGGUUUUAUUGAAAAUACCAGCAGUACAACUUUUCAAUACAGUUUUAAGAGUAUGAAAAGCAGGAUGCCCUAGCCUUUUGUGAAGCAAAUUAACAUCUACUUCACUUGCUCUAGCUAUGAAAGCUUUCUUACAUGAUAGAUGAUGAACUGUAUCAGAACUGUUUAGUGAACCAGAAGGAUUACAAGACAUAGAAGGAAAAUAAGCAAACAUAGACUCAAAUUUAUUGGAAGAAGAUUGACAUAACAAAGCUGUGCUAGCUUGAGAGAAUUGAGAUGCACUUUGAACUUGAUACAAUCCUCCUUUUGCAAUUCCUCUAAGCAAAAUGAUCCCUGAGCUCCUGGCCUUAAUGAAGCAAACAUUUGCAAAGAAUUCAAUAGAAACAUUAUUAUCAGCUAAGAGUUUGGAGACACUGAGUAAAUUUUUGGUUAUUUGAGGAACAUGAAGAACAUGAUUUAGUAAUAAAGGUUCAUGUGUGGUUGUGUUUAGCAAUACUGAUCCAAUGAGAUUAAUAUGCAAGGAGGAACCAUCUCCAACAAGUAGUUUUUCAUUUCCAGUAUAAGCUUUUGGUGCUAGAAGUUUACCUGAAUCAUUAGUGAUGUGAUUGGUAGCACCACUAUCAAUGUACCAGGUAGGAUCUUCAACUAUCUCUGGAGCAGGCACUAAUGUAGCUGAGGAAGAACCACCACUGUUAUAAUCUUCAUUGGAACAAAAAACAGGUGCAGAAGGUGUGAAACCAGAGGAGCUGCCAGGAUGAGCAACAUAAAGUGCAGUGGGAUCUGAGUACAUCACAUAGCCUUGAUAACCAGAACCUCUUGGCAUAUUAGAAUUUCCAAGAUUAGGUUGACCAAACAUAUUGCCAGGCUGAGGAUAAAAACCUCUACCAUAAACUCCAUUAUAAGAUCGACCACCAUUGUUUCCAAAACCUCUUCCAAAAUUCCUUUGACCAGGCCUAAAGUUGCCAUUAAAUGCUCCUCUAGCUUGAUUCCUAGAAGGCACAAAAGCAGAGUUGUACAUGUUUCUGCAUUUAUUUGCUCCAUGCCCAGGUAUAAAACAUAUUUGGCAGAUGAUUGUUGAAUUAAAAUCACUUGUCUGACCCAUACUAUUUCCACCAAAACCAGAGUUAUAAGCACCUCCAUUGUUAUAUUUUUGGUUACCACCAGCAUUUUUCCCAGAAUUAUAUUGCUUCUGAGCUAUAUUAGCUGUCAGAUGAUGUGUAACAUCACUAGCAAUUUUGCAUUUUUUCUGCUCAACUCUAUUUUCAUGACUUAAUAACAAGGAAUAAAAUUCAUCAAGACCUAUGUUGUCACCUCUAGCUAAAACACUAGUAACCAGAGAUUCAUAAUCUGAAGAGUCCAAUCCAGUUAACACAUGUUGAAGAAAGUCAUUCAACUCAACUGGUUUUCCAGCCAAGGCUAAGCUAUCAGAUAACCUUUUCAUUUUAGCAAAGUAAUCAAUCAUAGACAUAGAUCCUUUUUUAAGUGUUUGAAUCUGCAUUUUAAGUGGCAUAAUUCUAGCCUGAGACUGAGAGAUAAACAUACUUGUGAGUGCAUCUAGGAGCUCUUUAGCUGUGGAGCAAUGAAUCACUGUUGCAAGUAAGUUUUGUUGGAUGGACGACAUCAUCCAACUUAGAAUCAAUUGAUCAGUCUUAGUCCAAGCUGUAUAUUCUGGAUUGAUCUCUUGAUCCUCCACUAGAGUUGAUUGACUAGUAAUAGUGCUUGCUGACGAGAGAAACUUUUCUGGACAAAUUCGAUCACCAUUGACAAAGCUUUCUAAACCGUUUCCUUUGAUUGAUGUUAAGAUCUGAGUACGCCAAACAAUGAAAUUAUUCUGAUCUAGUUUGACUGGAGUUGCAAAGCUAUAGGAUCCAGAAAUCUGAUUAGAGCUCAUCAUGUUUGCUCUGAUACCAUGUGAGAGUUUGUAAUAUAAUGUGUUUGGUUAACAGGAAAGUUAACGAGAAAAUGAAGAAGAAGAGAUAAGAAGAAUCUAGAGUUUAUUAGAUCUAAUUACCCUUUACAAUAAUGAUCUAAGCUCUGUUUUUAUACAAAGAUCAAUUCACAUACUCAAGUCUCUUAUAACAAAUACACGUGCUUAACAAACUUGUUAACAGUAAUCUGAGUCAGCUAACUAACUUGAACACGUCAGCAGUGGAAUUAUCUUAUGCCCGCAACUCCAUACUCUAAUCAUGCUCUGUAACACAUCAGCUGAAACCAAGCACAAAUAUAUAAAGCAUAGAAGAUGGGCUAAACAGAGCAGCCGUACACAAGAUCCUUUAAGCAUACACUUAAUAACAAAUACCAUAUGAAAAGACUGCAUUAUUCUAUUGUGUAGAAAACUUCAGACCAUUAUCAAUUGAGCAAUUUGUACAGAAGGAACAGAGUGCCAUCCGUGAGAGACGGAAUGCAUAGCUGCCUGCAGUCGAAAAUAGUGAAAGAAAAAAGAAAAAAAAUGAAAAAGCAUUAGUUUUUUGAGAAAGUAAAUCACGGAAUUGGAAAGAGUAAAACUUUAAGAAUACGAAGGAAAAUUAACAUACUAAAUGAGCAUUAGAAUUAUUUUCACUCUCUCAAGUCUUAACAAGUGAGGAAGUAUUACCAAUUAGUUCCUGAACCUUCUUUGCAAUUUUGGUGAUAUUCACCACCGCUGUCACGUAAAACCAAUUUUCGAUACCAGUCAAGAAGUUGUAGUAACGAUGUCUCCAUGAACUCUUCACUAAUAAAGUGCCACAGAAUCCCCAGAAUCCAACAAAAAAACCAAGAAUCAAACACACGUAAAGUCCAAGAGUUAUAAAUUGAUCCUCAUCUUCUGAAGUGUUUGCAUCAUCUUUGCCUGGACCUAGAGCCGAGUCUUCAUCUGGACGCUUGUUUGGAAGUGGGAGGCCGCAAAGUUCAUUUCCAGCAUACGUUGAAGCAUUGAAGCUCUGGAGUUGAGUGCCCGAUGGAAUUUUUCCGGACAAGUUGUUGUAUGACAAGUCCAUGACGCUAAGAUCACUUAAAUGAGAAAGGCUUGAAGGAAUGCCUCCAAAAAAUUGAUUUCUAGAGAAAUCGAGGAAACCCAAUGAUUUUAACUGACCAAUCUUUGGAGUGAUUUGUCCAGUUAAAUUGUUUCUCGAAAGGUUCAUAGCAAUCAACUCAACUAGAUCCAUAAUCUCUUCAGGAACUUUUCCACCUAACUUAUUGCUUGAAAGGUCAAGUAUCUUUACAAGUCCCAGAGUGUUUUGGCACUUGUAUUGACUUCCUUUCCAUGUCAACACUGCUUGGCCAAAAUACCUGUACAAGUGCUGUACAAAGCCUCCUUCAGUAGUGUAACUACCGUUGGAGCUAAUGGAGAGAACAGAACUUUUUUCCUGGGCCAUGGCAGUAAAAUUAUUGAAACAUUUUGGUAUGAUUCCCGAUAUAUUGUUUGAUGAAAGAUCUAAGAUCUGAAUGAACGGUAGGUGGCACAGCUGAAAAGGUGCAAUCCCAUGGAAUUUGUUGGACAUCAGACUAAGAACAACCAAUUUUGGAAGGCUUUUUCCUAUCCAUGUUGGUAUCUCUCCAGAUAACGCAUUCCUCCCAAGAUCCAUAAGUUUCAGUAUUUAGCAAUUCUGUAAAGUUGAAGGCAAUUCUCCAGUUAAGCUAUUGUUGUGCAAGCUCAAUAUUUGGAUGUUUGGUAGGGAGCCCAUCGAAUCUGGAAUUUUUCCAGAGAAGUUAUUGUUUUCCAAAUCCAGAAUGCCUAACCUAUCAAACAAGAGCCAACAGUCUGGGAGCCUUCCUGAUAGUAAGUUAUUUGAGAGAUCAAGAUGCGUUAACUUGUGGCCACCGAUAGAACAUAAGAAGGAAAUCGAUCCUGAAAACUUAUUUUUGGAGAGAUUUAAUAAUGAAGCGUUUAAAGGAAGUGGCGGAAUGGGACCCUCAAAGUGGUUUGAACUGAUAUCUAUACCUGGACCAUAAGUAUCAAAACUUAAAGAUAAAUCUGGAAGUUUACCCUUAAUCUGGUUGUUGGAGAGAUUUAAAAAAGAUAGUUUAUUUCUGGAUAGAUCCCAAAACCAAUCUGGAGUAGUAUCUGAGAUUUCUACAUUAGAGAUUUCAAGUGAAACAAUUUGAGUUUGAGUUUGAAGCCAUUUUGGAAAAUGACGCCCCAUCUUGCAAGAGCUGAGAUAUAUAUACUCCAAUUGAAAUGGAGGAAUCCAAUCAUGUCUGAAUUUCAAAGUGAAAGAGUUAUGAUCUAAAUGCAAUACCUUUAAGUUGGAGGUAUUCGAAAAAAAAUCUUCAGAGAUAACACCGGUCAGUGAAUUCCUAAAUAGUGACAGCUCCUCAAGCUUGUACAUCCGGCCAAGGCUUUGGUUGAUAGUGCCAUUUAAACGAUUGCCUCCAAGAUACAGUCUUUUCAAGGAUAAAAUUCCUCCAAGCUCAGGUAUUGGCCCUGUGACGGCAUCGUCGUCUAAAUAAAGUGACUCCAGGGAAUUCUUGGCGCAUCCACAAGACAGAUUUUGAAUGAACUCAAAGAGCUGUCCACUGAGUUUAUUGGAAGACAAAGAUAAUUCAUUUAAGCAACACAUGUUUCCGAAGAAUUUUGGAAUCCCACCAUCAAGUUCAUUAGAACUAAGCCCAAGCUCAACAAGGUUGCUACUAACAUUGAACAACCAAGGGUAUAUUGAAGAAGUGAGACUGUUUUCAGUGAGAUAAAGGGUCUCAAGAGAUUAUUACGGUGCAAUAGAUCAUCAGCCGAUAGAAUGAAAGGUGGAAGGUCACACCCUUCAAGGAUCAAGGUUGUUAGGGACGAGAGCUUGUAAACUACAAGAGGCCAGUCGUUGGAAUUACUGAGGUUAUUUUGACUCAGGGAAAGAUACCUUAAAGAUGAAAGAUGAGAAAGCCAAUGGAGCAGGUUUCCGACACUUAAUAAAUCAUUGUACCCAAGGUCAAGAUGUUGCAAGUUUGAAAGAUUUCCAAGCUGAGGAAUUGACCCAGCAAACCCAGCCCAAGCAAGAUCGAGGUGCCUCAAUUUGCUACUGAGGGAACCAAUGAAGUCAGCAAUCGGAAUUCCACUGAAAUCAUUGAAACUGAGGUCCAAAUUUUACGCAAAGAAGGGCUUAAUAUUUUACCUUUCAGUUUUAGAGCCCCGUGUUGAUGAAGAUCAAGAGCGUAUACGUGGCGCGUUUUGUUUCUACAGAAGACUCCUGUCCAUUCACAGCAAUCUCUUUUGUUAUCUUCACUUCCCCAGGAAGACAGAAUGCCAUGUUCAUCCACAAGGCUCUGUUUGAAAGUGAGGAGUGCUUCUCUUUCCUCAUCUAUAUUCUUGGCGCCAACUGUAACGAAAUCACAGAAAAUAAAGCUACUUGUGGAAGCAAAAGGAGCCACUUGGAUUGCAUUGUAAUUUUAUUUGAUCCGCUUUGAAUAUAAAUAUAUGAUAUAUCUGUAUCGUUGUAUUGAAACCCAGGGACCUAUGCCAAUUUAUACUUCGUUCAUCUCAACGUACAAGUCUUCAGUCGACUUGGAAAAAAAUUUAAAAGAAUUUACUAUAUAUUCUUUUUAAUUAAUUGUCAUUUUAUUUUGGAUAAUAAGACAUACAACUCUAAAUUUUUACAAAAAGAACAAAAUACACCCCUCGUGGAUAAAUGCACCCACAUUCGUUGACUUUUAUUAUUAAAUGGACUAUUUUAUUAGUUUUGACAUUCACAAUGACAUUUAUACCCUCACAAUGAUUUAUUAAAAGUUAUUUUUUUUUUAAAAAAAAGCGUUAUAUAGAUUUCUAUGAAUAUGAUGUAAGACUCAAAAUUAAAUCUAAUUUUAUUGAUAUAUCAUAUAUGUGUCUAGUAAUAUAAGAAUAUACUGUUAAUUUUAUUUUGACUUUAAUCUACAUCAAGCUAAAUGAUUUUGCUUAAUUAACUUGUGUAGUAAACAACUACUAUUAUAGAAAAUUAAAUAAAAAAAGUUUUGUAAAUGUCAUAUAAUGAAUAAAAAUUUAUAGUUAAAACAAUUCAAUUGAAUUUAUUACACUUGUUUUCAGUACAAAUUUUUGUUUCUAAUUGAUGAGCGAUUUUUCUUUGUUUAACUAAAACAAAUGAAUAAAUUAUUUUUCACUAAAAUUUUGUAGAACCUGGUUAAUUUUAUAACAAUUAAUAAUUUUUUUUAUUAAUUUACUUGUUUUCACAUUUUUUUUAUAGUCUUAUAUAUAAUUUAUAAAAUUUAUGUUCAUCACAGCAUUUUAGAAAUUUUCAAUCGGAUGACAUAGCAUUUCAUGACGGUCGCGAUGUUUUCCUUAUGUGCAAUUUAUAAUGGCAAUAACAUGUACUUGCCCUAUAUGAAUGGUCAUAAUGACAUAUUGAUUUUAGCUCAUAGUGGUUUCCAUUGUCUUAAUUGAGAAAAUCUUCUACAUAAUCAUCAAAAUUCUUGAGAAUUAUCUUGUGACUUUUAUAAUAUGUGUAACUGCUCAUUUAUUCAACCAUACGAGUUUAAAUUAUUGGAGAAGAUAGCAACUAAAAAUUAAUAUGGGCUUUGCCAAUACCAAUUGCUUUGCGUAGUCUUCACGAAGUAAUAAUCAAACUACAUGCAUUUUUUCCCUCUCUCGUUCUCUCUUUUUGACUCUUCCACAUUCGUGAAAAAUAAAUGAGUGUCCAAAAUGCAGAAUUUGGUGCAGGACAAUGAAAAUGAUAUAUAUGCGUAAUGGCAGAUGCGUUCCGACACUACGUAUGUAUGUAUGUAUGUAUGUAUGUAUGUAUGUAUGUGUGUGUGUGGAGAGAGAGAGCUGCGGUUUUAAAAUUUUUUAAGAUUUUCUCGCAUUUUAAAAUUUUAUAUUGAAAAUUUUGUGUACAUAUAUUCAAUGAUGUAUUAUGUGGUGCAGAACUAUGUUGAUGUCUAGAAUUUCUUAAAAGAUAAGAUAAUAUAUUUAACUGAAAUUUUACCCAUUUGUAUACAAAGUUUAAUUUUGGCCCCCUCAAAUUAAUGAUAUUUCGAUCUUGAUUUUGGCACUGCCGUUUCACAAAAAUGAUCUAGUUAUUAUACGCAGGAAUAUUCCAUGAAGAUGUCACAACAUCCAUCUAAAGGAGUUUUGUAAUUUACACAUUUGCAAUUUCUUGAAAUUCAAAGAUUAUUCAAUAAUUCGCUUCCUUCUCUAAUUACACAAACUAAAGAUUUUCACGACUCUAAAAGGUGGGUCGGUGUGACUUGUGAGGUCCAAACCACUCUAAUUUCGAUUCUUAUUUAGUAAAUAAGAAUUAAUAUGAAAUAUUUAAAAUUUUAUAGUGCAUUCACUAAAUAGUAAUCAAAAUUAACUAGAAAACUAAUGAGUUAGAAACGCAAGAGAUAUAAUUGAAAUGAGGAAUUGGAAUUAGAAUAAGUAUAAUUUAUUUAUUUAAACUGUAGGAAUUAUAAUUAGAAUGAGUUGUAUUAUCAUUUAUGUGUUUACUUUAUCUUAAAAUCAAAAUCGGAAUGAGUUAAAUUAUAACAAAUUACUAUAAAAUCCUUAAUUAAUUUUAUCAUAAUUAUUAUUUUGUAUUUUAAUUAUUGUGAUUAUUAUUAUUAUUCAAAAAUUAAUAAUAAUAAUAAUGAUUGUUAAUAAUUAUUAUUAACAAUUUAACUAAAAAAUUAUUAUUAAUUUUUGUUAAUAGAUUAAUUAAUAAUAGUACUUUUUAUUCUUGUUAUUAAUAAUAAUAAUAAUAAUCAAUUUAAAAAUUAUAAUUAUAUUUAUAAUUACAAUAAUUAUUUUAUUAUAAUUAUAAUCUAUUUAAUAAUUAUUAUAUUUUUUAAUUAAAUGGAGGGUAUUUUGGAAAUUAUAGGUGGCUAAUUUGAUACUCUAAUCUAAGGGUUUCAAUAAAAUAAAAUAGAGUGCAAGGGUCUCAACAAAAUUUUAUAAUAAAGAAAGUUUCAUAUAUUUAUAAAUAAAUUAUAAAUAAUAUAGAGUUCAAGGGGCUAAACAGUAUUUUGUAGCAAACAGGUCAGAAAUGAAAAGACAAGCCAGCUGUAGCUUACUUAGGGGGAUCCGCUAAAAUAAAUGUUUCAGUUGUACUAUGUGGGCUAAAAUAUAUGUCAGGUCAAUUAUGUCAGCAUACUGUGCGGGCUAAAAUAAAUGUUAAGUUAUACUAUGUGGGCUAAAAUAUAUGUCAGGUCAAUUAUGUCAGCAUACUGUAAUAAUGUGAUUGUCUGAUGGGGCCAUAACCUGUCAAACAAGUGAUAGCAGAUCCUCAACAUAAUUGCAUUGCGAUUAGCAAACACAAAGGAGUCCUUUAUCACUCUCAUUCUCUCUCACUAUAAUUUCUCACCAUUUCCACUGUUUUUUAUUUUAACUUGUAAAAUUAAAGAUUAAAAAAAUGAAAGAUACGAUCGUCCUUUAUACUUCUCCAGGAAGAGGUCACUUAAACUCCAUGGUUGAAUUAGGAAAAUUGAUACUCGCUCACCAUCCUUGCUUCUCCAUCGACAUCAUAAUCCCCACCGCCCCGUUCGUAACAAGCGCCGGUACCGAUGAUUACAUCGCCUCCGUCUCCGCCACAGUUCCCUCCGUUACCUUCCACCAGCUCCCUCCUCCGGUUUCCGGCCUACUCGACACUUUACGUUCACCAGUUGACCUCCCAGCCUUAGCGUACGAGCUUGGCGAGCUCAACAACCCUAAACUCCACGAAACCCUAACAACAAUUUCCAAACGCUCAAACCUCAAAGCCUUUGUUAUCGAUUUCUUUUGCAGCCCCGCGUUUCAAGUUUCCUCAAGUACUCUCAGUAUCCCUACUUACUAUUACUUCACCUCCGGAGGGAGCGGACUCGCUGCUCUCCUC